RNAcentral lists this long non-coding RNA (3214 nucleotides) under Homo sapiens (human). RNAcentral's name for it is "HSALNT0384314". The record is from RNAcentral. Lineage: Eukaryota; Metazoa; Chordata; Mammalia; Primates; Hominidae.
UACAGCCAGGAAACCACUAGAAGCACCUGGGCUUCUGUCGGAGGCUUCAAGCUCAUCCCUCAGGCGGGGCUGGGCCUCCGGUUCACCUGGAGUCCAGCAUGGGACCCUGUGCUGAGCCUGAGGCUCCUCUGCGUGGAGACAGCCCCACCCUCCCUGAGCUGGCUCCUUAGGGGCCUCACUGGGAAAAGCCAGGUCCCUUCCCACCCAUCCAUGAGAUGCCACCUCUGUGACAUGUUUUCUUGGAUGUAUCAGUAAGUCUUGAGGUGUCUUUGAUUCAGUUCCUCUCUCUGUACUAGGAACAUCCAGACUUAAUACUAUAGCUUCUUUCUAGGUUUUGAUAAUAGCCUCCCCUUUUUGUUCUCGAAAAUUCUCUUGCCCAUUCUUCAGUCUAUCAACUCUUGGUUCACUGUCAGCUAUCCCCUGGGCUGAGCACCUGGGCUGCAGCCAUAAACAGGACCUGAAGCCCCCACUGUGCGGCUCAGACAGGGAAUGAGGAGUGACACGGCGUCGCCCACAUCCAGCUUUCCCCAGACACCUCAAUCCUAAGAAUUACCCGCAGCUUCUUAAGAACUCUCAUUCCUCUGGAAACAGACAAGUGUCCAGCCACAGAUGAGUGGAUAAACACAGUGGUCUAGCCAUACAAUAGGAUAUGAUUCAGCCAUAAAAAGGGGUGAAGCACUGAAAAUGCUACAACACGGAUGAACCCGGAAAACAUGAUGCUCAGUGAGAGAAGCCAGACACAAAAGGGCAGAGAUUGCAUGAUCCCACUGAUUCUUCAUAUUCGUUCUAGGUGUGACACUUCUGGAACAGGCAAGUCCAUAGAGACAGCAAGAAGACCAAAGCUGACAACCAUCUGGGCCGUUUCCACCUUUGGGCCAUCGUGAGAAUCACGCUGCUAUGAACGUUCGGGAACAAGCUUUUGUGUUCCCCAGGGUACCUGGACACCUACCGGAGUCAUGGACCAGCAAUGCAGGUGCUGUUGAUGUUGGGGGCAUUGGGGGCAGAAAUGGCAGCAGCCAACAUGCUGGGGAUCCAUCCGUCUAGGUUCCACACCUUGCUUAAGGGCCAGCUUUGUGGCAGACCUGGAUACACCGGAGCUGGGGGAUCUUGAGGGAACAGGACCCAAGCCAUACCUUCUGCAAGGCCACAUGGAGAAUGUGAGUUUCUGGGCCCCCACACUCCCACCCCAGUCACUGACCAUCUGCCAGGCCAGCUGCACCUAGAGGCGGUGAGUCUCACCCCAAAUAUUUAACCCCUGACUCUGCAGUGCAUCGUUAGGGUCUGUACUGUGGCUCAAGUGGGGGCCUUUGUCUCUCUUGGGCCCAGUCCCACCUCAGGCACAGGGCCAGCUCCCAAACCAGCCCUUUCAUGGAUUGUGGCAGAUGCAAGAAAAGCCACCUUCUGGACUCUAUCCUGGCUGGGCCUGUUGUUCCAGCCGAAGCCCCCCAGAGGACAUGGGAGUUGUGGGGCAAUGACCACUGCCUCAGGGACCUUGGACUCCUGAUGGGACAAAGCUGUGAGCGGUAGCAGGAAGCUAUGAGCAGACAGGCCAGGCCCAAGGCCCACUGGGCUGCUUGCUGCUUAGACAGCCUCAGGCAAGUGCCCUACCCUCGUACAGCCUCCGCUUCUCCAUCUGUCCUCUGGCGAUGACCACAAAGGCAUCCUGGGCAUUUGCCACUUGCUGUGGGCUUUGCCAGACCUCAGACAUAUUCACAGGCACCAGCUCAAUAUCAUCCUUGCCCUAAGUCCCCGGGGAGGUUGGUGUGCCCCUUUGAAGAAGGGGAUGAAGAAACCAAGACUCUGAGACAUCAAAGCACUUGCUCAGGGUCACACAGCUGGUGAACCGCGAUUCUCCCCGCAAGCAAUCUCACUCCAGAGGCAUGUGAUCGACUGGGCUAGAAGUUACUCAUGGGGAUGCUAGGAAAAUCACACCAAUAACAAUCUCCACCAUCGUAAUAUGAGCUAAUACUUACUCUCUACGUGCCAGGCUCCUCACUGUUUCUGACUCAAUCUUCAUGACAACCCUGAGAGCUGGGUGUUAGCAUGGGAAGCUGGCCAGCUGCAGAUCCCUGAGACCUGUCCCUGCUUCUCCCUCCACUGGUUCUACCUGGGAACGCGUCUCCUGCGCAUCCUCCUCCAUCUGCCCCUCUGGCCUCACCUUGAUCAAAGUCACCACUUCUUACCUGGCCCAAUGCAACAGCCACCCACUCUCUUUUCUGAGAGCAUUUGGGAGCACAGGUGAAGAUAACUGAGGCUCACAGAAGUUAAGAAACUGGUCCGAGUUUACACAGCUGGGAAGUGGUGGUGCCAAGAUUCGAACCCAUGAAGACGGGCUUCAAAAAGCCACCUUCUCAGUACAAAGGGGACAUCAGUAUCAAUCCACACCCACCCCUUACAGACAAAGGGACAAGAGACAUCGGAGAGACAGGAUGAUGGGACCAGGCAUUCACCACCCAGGGAAGCAGAGUGAUUUACAGUUUGUUGUCAUUUUCAUCAGUACAAUUAAUCCCAGUGGUUGGUUGGGUAAGGAUUAGUGAUGGUAAACGGAGACUGAGUCAUUCUCCUAAGUUGUCCCCACAAGGGACUCCCAGCCUGUCCCUCCAAACAGACCUUUCAGGCGGAAGCAACUGCCAUUGAGUGAGCACCUUCCUGGCCCACACCCUACCCUAGCACCGGAAGCAGGUUUCAUCUCUGAUCCUUAUAACAACUAGUUGAGGUACGUGCUAUCAUAGCUCCAUUGCAGAUGAGGAAACUGAGCCUCAGGAAGACCACUUGCUCAGGGUCAAUAGGUUAGUAAGAGGUCUAUGCUUGUAACUGCUGCAGCCCCAACUGGGCACUUUCUAGAUAUUCAGUAAUUGCCAAAUAAAUUUUCGACCCCACCCCACCAACUCUUUGUCAUCUCUCUGCCCCUUACAGGCCCUGGCAACAGGCCCUUCACCAUUAACAAGCCCCCAGAGAUAUGAAUUGUCCACAUGCUAUAAAAUACCUGCUCAAUUUCACACCUAUUUAUGGAGCCCCAAGCUUAUGUAAGGCCUGGAAUUAAGGACAACAGAAGGCCCUCUCCCAAAAGAUGAGUAAAUCCCAACUAUUCAAAAGCUUGUAAGCUAGUAGGUAGGUUAAGGAAAAACACCCCAAUGGGUAUAAUUACAAAGAUUUGGCUUGGCGCGGUGACUCAUGCCUGUAAUCCCAGCACUUUGGGAGGCCGAGGCGGGCA